UUGUACUCAAUAUACUUCCUAUUUGCAUACAUACAUACAUAUACACAUACAUAUGUGUAUGUGUAUAUGUAUGUAUGUAUGUAUGCAAAUGGGAAGUAAAUUGAGUACAA
Non-coding RNA from Podarcis lilfordi (Lilford's wall lizard), 110 nucleotides. NCBI's taxonomy places the organism in Eukaryota, Metazoa, Chordata, Lepidosauria, Squamata, Lacertidae. The record is from the annotation of a GenBank genome assembly.